AGAAUGUUGAAAUUCAUAGGUUCCGGCUCUCUAUUAUGCCCUGGGAGAGCAACUGCGCAAAGGGAAUACGGUAAAAUCCGUAGCGGACGCGCCGCUGUAACCGGGGACGAAAGCCUGAUUUAUGCCACUGUCCAUUUAGUAACGGAUGGGAAGGCCGGGCGAAUAGGAUGAGCCGGGAGCCAGAACACCUGCAGAUGCCUCGUGAUCCGA
Molecule: non-coding RNA, 210 nt
Filed under: Lentisphaerota bacterium
Lineage: Bacteria; Pseudomonadati; Lentisphaerota
Source: RNAcentral